Molecule: ribosomal RNA, 914 nt
Filed under: uncultured archaeon
Lineage: Archaea
Description: bacterial SSU rRNA
Rfam family: Archaeal small subunit ribosomal RNA
Source: RNAcentral
UUCCGGUUGAUCCUGCCGGACCUGACUGCUAUCGGAUUGAUACUAAGCCAUGCUAGUCUUUGCAGUAAUGCAAGGCAUACGGCUCAGUAACGCGUAGUCAACCUACCCUAUGGACAAGAAUAAUCUCGGGAAACUGAGCAUAAUUCUUGAUAGAUCAUAAUGCCUGGAAUGGUUUAUGGUUAAAAUGAUUCGUCGCCAUAGGAUGGGACUGCGGCCUAUCAGCUUGUUGGUGAGGUAAUGGCCCACCAAGGCGAUUACAGGUACGGGCUCUGAGAGGAGAAGCCCGGAGAUGGGUACUGAGACAAGGACCCAGGCCCUAUGGGGCGCAGCAGGCGAGAAAACUUUGCAAUGUGCGAAAGCACGACAAGGUUAGUCCGAGUGAUUUCUGCUAAAGAGAUCUUUUGCUAGUUAUAAAACCACUAGUGAAUAAGGGGUGGGCAAGUUCUGGUGUCAGCCGCCGCGGUAAAACCAGCACCUCAAGUGGUCAGGAUGAUUAUUGGGCCUAAAGCAUCCGUAGCCGGCUCUGUAAGUUUUCGGUUAAAUCUAUGCGCUCAACGUAUGGGCUGCCGAAAAUACUGUAGAGAUAGGGAGUGGGAGAGGUAGACGGUACUCGGUAGGAAGGGGUAAAAUCCUUUGAUCUAUCGAUGACCACCUGUGGCGAAGGCGGUCUACCAGAACACGUUCGACGGUGAGGGAUGAAAGCUGGGGGAGCAAACCGGAUUAGAUACCCGGGUAGUCCCAGCUGUAAACGAUGCAGACUCGAUGAUGCAUUGGCAUAUAGCCAGUGCAGUGUCGCAGGGAAGCCGUUAAGUCUGCCGCCUGGGAAGUACGUACGCAAGUAUGAAACUUAAAGGAAUUGGCGGGGGAGCACCACAAGGGGUGAAGCCUGCGGUUCAAUUGGAGUCAACGCCGGG